UACGUAGGGGGCAAGCGUUAUCCGGAUUUACUGGGUGUAAAGGGAGCGUAGACGGCAAUGUAAGUCUGGAGUGAAAGGCGGGGGCCCAACCCCCGGACUGCUCUGGAAACUAUGUUACUAGAGUGCAGGAGAGGUAAGCGGAAUUCCUAGUGUAGCGGUGAAAUGCGUAGAUAUUAGGAGGAACACCAGUGGCGAAGGCGGCUUACUGGACUGUAACUGACGUUGAGGCUCGAAAGCGUGGGGAGCAGACAGG
Molecule: ribosomal RNA, 253 nt
Filed under: uncultured bacterium
Lineage: Bacteria
Description: partial 16S ribosomal RNA
Rfam family: Bacterial small subunit ribosomal RNA
Source: RNAcentral